Mustela putorius furo (domestic ferret) is the source of this 69-nucleotide small nucleolar RNA. Lineage: Eukaryota; Metazoa; Chordata; Mammalia; Carnivora; Mustelidae. The record is from Ensembl.
UGGGAAGUGAUGACGCUCGUGAUCUUGACAUCGUGCUGAUUUCUCACGUAUUCGUACUGUCUGAUCCCA